GGGGGCCGGACUCCGUCCAAGCUUUCUUCCUACAAAAACCUCCGGAGUUUACAACGGACAGUGUGUUAACUAGGACAGAGGAACAUGGGCUUAUUAAAGUUAGAGUAACAAUACAAAUGUGUGAAGUCUUUAUACAGAACUUUAAAUUGUUUUUCAUCAUCAAGUUCGUGGAGUCGCUGAGGACAAGUGACCGGCCGGCAUCGGAUGAAGACCUGACACACACCUUUUAAUUUAAUUGUUCAGUGUGUCAAAAUAUGCGAGGAAUGAUGGCUGCUUUUUUAAAUCCUCCUGAAGUACUGCAGAGCUGAGCCGCUGUCUACAAGUUCUCAUGUAAAAGGCGCAGUUCCUCCACCUGCCACGAGGUGGAGCCAGAGCAUCACUGUCACACCGUUUACACUUACAGUAUUACACAUCUGCACCGCAAUGCAAUACCAACCAUUAUGAUGAAUGUAACCAUGUAAGUACACAUUUGGAAUAUGACACAUUUAACAAUGACUUUACUGUAUAUAUGGUAAACAUUUUCACAUAUAGAUGUCAAAUAAAAACCCAUAUGUGUUAUAAUGUAAGUUAAAAUAAUAUAUAUAUUUUUUAACUUAAACUUAAAUAUUUUACCAAAACGAAACAUUCAAAAUUGUAUGAUGAAAUCUUUAAAUUAUAUAAAUAUUUUUUUUCUCCCUAUAAUAAUAUAUAUGUAUGACGUUUAUUUCCCCCUAUUUUAUUUUCAAAUGUAGUUAAAUAAAUUAUGUGAGUUUUUGAGCGUGUCUGAAUUGUUUAUAUAUAUAUUAUUAUUUGUUUCAGUACAGAUUAAAACCUGUAAGAUGUUAUUAUGAUUGGCUGAUGAUUCAAUAAAAUGAAUUAUGAUGACUAAA
Molecule: long non-coding RNA, 869 nt
Organism: Gymnodraco acuticeps
Lineage: Eukaryota; Metazoa; Chordata; Actinopteri; Perciformes; Bathydraconidae
Exons: 2
Source: RefSeq, a predicted model, not a curated record